GGUCUUGUAGUUUAGUUAAAAUUUUAAGUUGCAAACUUGAAGAAAACAUUUUGUUCUGGACUU
Molecule: transfer RNA, 63 nt
Filed under: Cyclina sinensis
Lineage: Eukaryota; Metazoa; Mollusca; Bivalvia; Venerida; Veneridae
Description: tRNA-Cys
Source: RNAcentral